AACAAUAGCUCUGCUUUCUCUAAUAAAAUCUCUCUUCUGAGAUUAACUCUGGAGCUAGCAGUGAGGUCAGUGUUUCAUUUCAUAUAAGUCAGCUCAUGCUGACAAGGGUCUGGCCUUCUUAGUGAUGGGCCGUUUGCUGCUCAGAAGUGUGAGGAAUGGCUUUCUGAAAUAUCGAUAGCUCGCCUUCGCUGGAGUUCACAAUCAAAUUUAGCCGGCAAGUAUCAGUGCGCUACAGCCAGGCUGCAGGGCCACGAGGCUCAGGCUUGGGCCAGCCGCUAAGGUCUGCCUCCUAAAUCAGAGGCUAACUCUUCCAUUAGUGUAAAUCGGUGGUUUAUAACGAUGUCAAAUGAGAUUUGUGUCAGAGUAGCCCAGACUGCAGUCCGGUCUUGGGAUUUGAAAUGGAAUAGAAAAAUUAGACUCCGACCAUUAGAAUUAUUUUUUCAUUUCGUUUUGUUGUGCAUAUUUGUAAAUGUGCCUAUACACACAUGCACAUACAUGCAUUUUGUUCCCGUGGCCACGCGGCUGCCAUUUAACAUGGAACUAAGAGCAGAGAAUCUUCCUCCUGGUGUGGUUUGAUUGAUAUGUGCAGACAUCUCACAUAAAGGCUCUGGGAUCCCGCUUUUCAUCCAUAAAAGGAAAGCAGGCAAGCUUCAUCCCUGGCUAAACCCUUUGCACAAUAUACAUCAAUAAUGAGGCAGCAUCUAUUUAUACAUUGCUCACUGGAAAUGACUGAAUUCAGACAGAAGUUGGUGAGGCAGCCUGAGCUCCACCAGCCUCCAUGGAGUCUAUUGUUAGUACCCAGGAUGACUCCUCAGGCAAAUGGAGAGGAGAGGCACGAUUUGGAGCCUACCAUGCCACGGGAGGAAUACCAGCUUCCACACUUGGCAGGUGGUGUCUCCUCUCAGAGAAUGCCUUCACUGGCUCUGCCAGAGCCCGGCAAUCCUGGAGGAGGAGUGCAGGAGAAAUGGUCGCAAGAGCGCAGCCCCAUUGCAGCUCCCCAGGAAGUGGAAUGCUGACUUGGGUUUACCCACAGGGUGACAGCUCCCUGCCUUUCUUCAUGAGAAAAGGACAUGUCCAAGGGAGAAUGGGAGCAAGGCAGUUCUGCCUUCAUACACACUGAUUCUGUCUUGCCAUAUUGUUGCAGAAGGUUUUCAACAAUAUUUCCUUACCUAGAAAAAGAAAGGUGCAGUAAAAAAGCCCCGUUCAGCGUUACGAUCUUGGUGUGCCAAUUGUUCACCAGCACAUGUCUGUGAUGAUAAAGACUUGCUUGUCUGUGAGAUAUUUAUCAUAAAUAAGGUACUCAGAACCCCUUAGCAAAGCACAAUACAGACAGUGCUUUUGCUCCAUAUCCUUCUUCACUCCUGGUUUCCUCCGUGGCUCUUGUGUACUUUGCCCAUAUGCUCUAAAGCUAUUUUGUUUUCAGUUUUAUGUAUGUUUUAUGUAAAUUAGAAGAAUCGAGCUCCUCUGCUUGCUAAAUUAUAAAUUGAGUGGAAAUUGGCUGACUCUCUUUAGACUAUGUAAGUUACACAAGAUGUAAGUAAUCAAGCUCAGCAGGCUGGGAUAGGGAAAACACGUCAAUACCGUGGGCCAUGUGAGCUAUGUCCACGUGUCUCCGUGCACUGCUGCUUGCUUUUGCAGCCUCAAAUAUCUCUUUCCUCUAAAGUGCCAAUCUAACUCCUUUUAGACCAUUCUCCAAGACGCAGGUUUAUUGCUUCCUUUGGUAGUUUGCUCGGUAUAUUCAGUAUGCCUUGUAUAAAUGAACUGCUCUUAAAUGCCUGUUUCCACUCUCUUGCUUUAGGAUCAGAGUAGAUUCAGACUGCCUCCUCUGGGAGCACUGAUUCAUUUUCUUUACCUUCUUCCCCUGUAAGUUAAAAUGCCUGUUGAUUUUAGUGUCUGUCUCCUUGGCUUACUCCCUGCUCUGGCUCUAUUUCCCCUACCCCACACUGCUUUGCAUACGCCUGAAUCUUGCCCUGGGUUAUCUUUUCCUUAGUAGCCCAUUGCAACCUCACAGAGCAGGACUGUGGUGCAAGGGCAGGAGCCUGGCAGUGGCUGGCAGCCUGUGAAACACUGCCAGGAGAGCAGGGAGGUUGGCUGGUAUCUUGGGUCUUGAUGAGAUUGUGGAGAAUCUGCUGCAGGGCAGAAAAGACAGUCUCACUGUUAGGGCACCAGUUAGACCAAGUUUUUAGAAAAAAGGGCCCAAAAUCAGACACUUGGGCCUAUUUUUACAUAGCCAGGUAGGACCAGUGUUGUUAGAAGCAGGUGCUGCUCUGAAUGCAGAGUCCUCUUAAAACUGUCCAUGUUCAGAUGCUUGUGACACACCAAACUGCCCCUAAGAGAUGAGACUGAUUGCAGCCUCAGCACAGACAGGUAUUGGCUGCACCAGCAUCCACAUGCUGCCAGAGUGACCAAAAGCAGCCAUGUGCUGUGGCCAGUGGCUCAUCCACCCCAGGAACGCCAAGCUCCAUCUGGGCAGAGUUUGGGCUAGCUCUGCUCUCUGUCUUUUAGCUCCAUGAAAGGCAGCAAACAGAGAAAAACAUCUUCAGAGAGGUGGUGUGGUGCAGCUCAUAUCAACAGACCAACAUUUUAAAGCCAGCAUCUUGGAGAUUGAAUCCCAUUGCCAUGGAAAAUUCCAGCUUGAAAUGUAUUUCUUGGAGUGGGGGGGUGUGUGGAAAUGUGGCCAUUGGGUGGGCUCUGCAGGCUUGGCCCCAGGCACACACCUUUAGCAGGCAGCCUGUUCCCAGGUACUGCACUGCCCUGUGUGCUUUGCUGACCAUGGCCAGGUUGAGGCAUGUGCCCAACAAAAGGGGAUCCCAACUGAGUAGUCAGGUGGCCCUCAGCAGUCUCAGGCUGGGACUCACAGGGCACAAAGGGAAUCCUCUUUGUUCAGGGUCUGCCUAGCAGUUAUUUGAGUUUGGGGUCUCUUUCACUGAGUUCAUAGACUACAUGGGUUCUUAUUUUUUAAUUCAUUAAAUACUUUGAUUCAGUGAUAUACCUUCAGAAUACACUUAUUCUGUGCUGUCAAAUGUUUACUGAGAAUGAUAAAAUAUAUCCAACCUUCCUUUUUAGAGCUUCCUUUUAAUUCAAAGGGAAGGUGUAACCUUUUGUUUUCUGGUGUGAUUUUUACUGAACCUCUGCCUACUUUAUUUAUUAGGCCACAUAUAAAUUUAUUACCACUUGCGCUUCCAAAUAAAAGGCUCAUAGGUUGGUAAGCAGUCUAUAAGUUGAGCUGCUAUUCCUUGAAACUCAUAAAAGGAUGAUCUUGGUCCAUGGAAUCACUAAUUAAAGCUGCUUUUCAAUAUGCAAAAAUUAAGUUAACAGUAAUUAAUGUAGCCAGCCUGGAACCUUAGGAAACUACUGCCAGCAAGUGUCUUUUGGUGCACUCAAGAGGAUGCAGUUUGAUUGUUGGCACCAACAGACAGGUUGGGAAUUGUAAACAUGGUAAUUAGCAGUAAGUUUCUGGAUCUCAACUUGCCAGACUGGCAGUCUGAUUCUUGGAGUAGUUGUCGCAUGGGAGGAGGGAAAAACAAAGUAAGGGAAUUAGAGCAACCUUGCAUUGCUCCUCCAACAUAUGCCACUGGACCAAUGUUUUUCUUGGCAAAGAUCUCUGACAAGGCGCUUAAAAGCAGCAUUGCAGCCCUGCUGCAAACUGUGAACCUCACUGCAGGCAUCAACCAAGCAAUUGUCUCUGGCUCUUCUAUUUAAACUAUGAGUGUUGCUCCAUGGUAAGGAACUUCAGAGUCUGAGAUCCUUCCACUCCACCUCUAUGGUGGAGCACAGUGUUGAUAAGGUUAUCAACAAUAAUGGGAUUAAAAGAGUUAAAAUCCAGCUUUUGCGGUAAUCCUGGAGUAUUCUAUUGUUGAGCUAUCAAAGAUUAAGGUUAUAGUAACCUUAUUAAUCCUUGGUGUAGUGUAAAUAAAAAGGAAAUGUCAACCUUAAUUCCACCAUGAAAUUAAAUCUUCACUUCUCUAAAUGAUGAUUCAAAUGCAGCUUACUGCAGUCAAUAUGGUUUAUGAAAAUGCUUAACCCAUGUGAAUUUAAGAAAUCAAAUCUGAGAGACAGAGAGAGAGUGGUGAUAAAACAUAGUACUUGUUUUGUUUAAAAUGAAAAAAAAAAAAAGUGUUCAUUCAGCUUGUAUAUCUGCAGAAACUUUACCUAGAGCCAAAAAAACUAUGCAAAGAAUUAGGAAAGGACCAAAUGCUCAUGGUGUACAUCCCUGGGAGGCAGAGAAUGCAGCUGCUAGCCCACAGCAGAACAGCCAUCCCUGUGCCAAAAAGCAGCCACAGCACUGCUGGUGGUGACCCCAUCCCUGUCCCCUGCUUGCAGGACACUCUGUGGCCUUGUUAGUGCUGCCCCAGUAGCAGGGACAGGGCGCCCUGACACAAGAGUUUAACCGAGCAUUGAUCUACUUGUGCUUUCAGUGCCAGAGACAACGCGAUGAAAAAAUGUCAGAAAUGAAAUGGUUGCUGAACCUUCUGCAAACGGCAGGCCUUCACACGUGCUGGUGUGAAGGGCAAAGAUUUUCCUGGCUAAGGUGAUUUCUAGAGUGGGGGGAAGCUGCCUCUUUUGGCAAUGGAUCGUUUCCUCCUCACCUGUGCUAGGCACGGCCCCUGCUCACCUGCCCACAGGGGCCGAAUCUAUAAAUAGGUCUGAAAUUGCCCUCUGGGACUAACUACCUGAAGAGAGGGAAGGACAGACAGACAGACUGAACUUUGCUUAGAAGUCAAUGGGAUCUGGUCCAGCCCUACAGCCUAAGUUUCCUGGAGUAGUCCACCUUCCUUCCUUCCUCGCCAAAUGAUGCAAGGAAAGCUGUUGAUCUUCAGUCUGUGGAGACAAUCUAACAUCAGCAACUUUCUGGGGGUGCUGCUACAAGGUGAGCCUCGGACUCUGCCGACGUCCUCUGUCUGUGCUCCCAGAUGACAGCCCAGCGAUGGCAGAUGGAGGGACAUCCCAGGCUGGAUGGGACUGGGCCUUUGCUGCUCCCAGAGCUGCCCCACGCCAUGGGACCCCCAGCUGCUGGACACCUGACCCAGCUUGAUGCUGCUGGAGAUGUGUUGGGGCUGGCUCUGCUUGCUGCUGCCUGCCUGCCUUAUUCUUUUGAGUUAUGCCCCAGCCCGCUCCUGUCCUGUUGUGCUAGUGCCUCCGGGCUGUAUUGAGUUUUCAAUUAUCACAAUAUACAGUGCAGAUGCUAUGCAAAACAGCCAGUGUGGCAGAGCAUGCUGAACUCAGUAGAAACACAGUUAAAUAAAAGUACUACUAUAA
This is a non-coding RNA of Cyanistes caeruleus (blue tit), 5259 nucleotides long. Lineage: Eukaryota; Metazoa; Chordata; Aves; Passeriformes; Paridae. The record is from RefSeq and is a predicted model, not a curated record.